Molecule: ribosomal RNA, 936 nt
Filed under: Triticum aestivum (bread wheat)
Lineage: Eukaryota; Viridiplantae; Streptophyta; Magnoliopsida; Poales; Poaceae
Description: partial small subunit ribosomal RNA
Source: RNAcentral
AUGUCUAGGAGCCUGGUGCUGGAAUCUUUGGGGUCAAGAUUUGCUGACAAUUUUAUCAGUUUUCCUGCUAUUGGGUCUCGUGGAGGGAUCCUCAUUGCUUGCACCGAUGACUUUGAGGUGUCUGAUAUUCCCUUGGCAGCGGGAGCUCAUUCGGUUUCAGGUACUAUCAGGGACAAAUCUGAUGGCAAUUGCUGGUCAAUCAUAGGGGUCUACGGCCCACAGUUAGAGGCCGAUAAGAUGGUGUUCAUGUCUGAAUUGAGAAGGAUCCAGCAGCACAUGUUGUCAAGAUGGAUGGUGUUGGGGGAUUUCAACAUGAUCAGUAGGGCUGUUGACAAGAGCAACAAUAACUGCAAUCUGAGGAUGAUGGGUAGAUUUAGGGCACUCAUUGAGGAUUUGGAAUUCAUCGAUUUUCCCUUGCCGGGGAGAAGAUUUACUUGGUCAAACGAGCGUCAAAACGUCACCCUGACCAGAAUUGUCAGGGUUUUAGUCUCCGACGAGUGGGAGGCUGCUUUCCCACAAUUUCAACUAACUCCCGUGUCGACCAACAUAUCUGAUCAUUGCCCGUUGAUUUUGAAAAAGAUGCAGCCCUCUCAUUAUAAGGCUUUCCGGUUCGAGAAUCAUUGGUUAAAAUCCCAGGAGUUUGAUGGGGUUGUUGCUCAAGCUUGGAAUAGAGAGGUCCAAUCUGGAGACCCAGUUCAAGUGUUACAAGCAAAACUUUCCAGAACGACGACGGCCUUAAAAAAUUGGUACAAGAAAAGGGUGAGGUGGGCCACUUUCAUAUCUGGAAUUGCAAAUGAAGUCAUUUUCCGCCUGGACCAGGCACAAGAGGACCGAGAGCUGACCGAGGCCGAGAGAAAUGUGAGGAGCUUGCUCAAGAUGAAGCUAUUGGGUAUUGCGGCCAUUGACAGAGCACGAUGGAGGCAGAAAUCGAGGUGA